UACCAUGCAGUCGAACGAUGAAGCCCUUCGGGGUGGAUUAGUGGCGAACGGGUGAGUAACACGUGGGCAAUCUGCCCUUCACUCUGGGACAAGCCCUGGAAACGGGGUCUAAUACCGGAUAUUACUCCUGCCUGCAUGGGCGGGGGUUGAAAGCUCCGGCGGUGAAGGAUGAGCCCGCGGCCUAUCAGCUUGUUGGUGGGGUAAUGGCCCACCAAGGCGACGACGGGUAGCCGGCCUGAGAGGGCGACCGGCCACACUGGGACUGAGACACGGCCCA
RNAcentral lists this ribosomal RNA (277 nucleotides) under Streptomyces sp. CSC11. RNAcentral describes it as "partial 16S ribosomal RNA". It matches the Rfam family "Bacterial small subunit ribosomal RNA", at positions 54 to 333 of the family's 1533-position model. The record is from RNAcentral. Lineage: Bacteria; Bacillati; Actinomycetota; Actinomycetes; Kitasatosporales; Streptomycetaceae.